UGGGGAUGCACUUGCUCCGCUAAUGGCGGCGCCCAAUUGCUGAGAAUUGUUUCCGUUGGGCGUCCUCGGCAUGCAUCCCAGAUUAAAUACCUUCAGACUGGAACUCUGUGCGGCCGCAUUCCAGCCUGUGCGCUCGCAUCGUUCUUCCAGGCACAUUA
This 158-nucleotide small nucleolar RNA is filed under the name Drosophila virilis. RNAcentral describes it as "small Cajal body-specific RNA PsiU6-40". It matches the Rfam family "Drosophila small cajal body-specific RNA PsiU6-40". Lineage: Eukaryota; Metazoa; Arthropoda; Insecta; Diptera; Drosophilidae. The record is from Rfam by way of RNAcentral.